Molecule: ribosomal RNA, 253 nt
Filed under: uncultured bacterium
Lineage: Bacteria
Description: partial 16S ribosomal RNA
Rfam family: Bacterial small subunit ribosomal RNA
Source: RNAcentral
UACGGGGGGGGCAAGCGUUGUUCGGAAUUACUGGGCGUAAAGGGCUCGUAGGCGGCCAACUAAGUCGGAUGUGAAAUCCCCAGGCUUAACCUGGGAACUGCAUCCGAUACUGGAUGGCUUGAAUCCGGGAGAGGGAUGCAGAAUUCCAGGUGUAGCGGUGAAAUGCGUAGAUAUCUGGAGGAAUACCGGUGGCGAAGGCGGCAUCCUGGACCGACACUGACGCUGAGGAGCGAAAGCCAGGGGAGCAAACGGG